ACAAAAGUGCCAGAUUAUAUGGGGUUGAUUUAGGUUUAAUUUAUGGAUUUUCCCUUUUGUU
This 61-nucleotide transfer RNA is filed under the name Anoplocephala perfoliata. RNAcentral's name for it is "tRNA-Leu". Lineage: Eukaryota; Metazoa; Platyhelminthes; Cestoda; Cyclophyllidea; Anoplocephalidae. The record is from RNAcentral.